Molecule: ribosomal RNA, 496 nt
Filed under: uncultured bacterium
Lineage: Bacteria
Description: partial 16S ribosomal RNA
Rfam family: Bacterial small subunit ribosomal RNA
Source: RNAcentral
GAUGAACGCUGGCGGCGUGCCUAAUACAUGCAAGUCGAGCGAACAGAUGAGGAGCUUGCUCCUCUGACGUUAGCGGCGGACGGGUGAGUAACACGUGGAUAACCUACCUAUAAGACUGGGAUAACUACGGGAAACCGGAGCUAAUACCGGAUAAUAUAUUGAACCGCAUGGUUCAAUAGUGAAAGACGGUUUUGCUGUCACUUAUAGAUGGAUCCGCGCCGCAUUAGCUAGUUGGUAAGGUAACGGCUUACCAAGGCAACGAUGCGUAGCCGACCUGAGAGGGGGAUCGGCCACACUGGAACUGAGACACGGUCCAGACUCCUACGGGAGGCAGCAGUAGGGAAUCUUCCGCAAUGGGCGAAAGCCUGACGGAGCAACGCCGCGUGAGUGAUGAAGGUCUUCGGAUCGUAAAACUCUGUUAUUAGGGAAGAACAAAUGUGUAAGUAACGAUGCACGUCUUGACGGUACCUAAUCAGAAAGCCACGGCUAACUACGU